RNAcentral lists this ribosomal RNA (496 nucleotides) under uncultured bacterium. RNAcentral describes it as "partial 16S ribosomal RNA". It matches the Rfam family "Bacterial small subunit ribosomal RNA", at positions 29 to 507 of the family's 1533-position model. The record is from RNAcentral.
AUGAACGCUGGCGGCGUGCCUAAUACAUGCAAGUCGAGCGAACGGACGAGAAGCUUGCUUCUCUGAUGUUAGCGGCGGACGGGUGAGUAACACGUGGAUAACCUACCUAUAAGACUGGGAUAACUUCGGGAAACCGUAGCUAAUACCGGAUAAUAUUUUGAACCGCAUGGUUCAAAAGUGAAAGACGGUCUUGCUGUCACUUAUAGAUGGAUCCGCGCUGCAUUAGCUAGUUGGUAAGGUAACGGCUUACCAAGGCAACGAUGCAUAGCCGACCUGAGAGGGUGAUAGGCCACACUGGAACUGAGACACGGUCCAGACUCCUACGGGAGGCAGCAGUAGGGAAUCUUCCGCAAUGGGCGAAAGCCUGACGGAGCAACGCCGCGUGAGUGAUGAAGGUCUUCGGAUCGUAAAACUCUGUUAUUAGGGAAGAACAUAUGUGUAAGUAACUGUGCACAUCUUGACGGUACCUAAUCAGAAAGCCACGGCUAACUACGUG